Molecule: ribosomal RNA, 2800 nt
Organism: Schistosoma mansoni
Lineage: Eukaryota; Metazoa; Platyhelminthes; Trematoda; Strigeidida; Schistosomatidae
Rfam family: Eukaryotic large subunit ribosomal RNA
Source: Rfam
CCCGCUGAACUUAAGCAUAUCACUAAGCGGAGGAAAAGAAACUAACAAGGAUUCCCCUAGUAACUGCGAGUGAACAGGGAUUAGCCCAACACCGAAGCCUGCGGUUAUUUGAUCGUAAGGCAAUGUGGUGUUUAGGGUGGCUUCAGGCAUUACUGCUCUGUCCCAAGUCCAGCAAUGAGUACGGCUUCCCAUUCUGGCCCAAAGAGGGUGAAAGGCCCGUGGGGGCAGAGAUCAAGUGUGACAGUUUUGCUCUGAGCUACCCUUGGAGUCGGGUUGUUUGUGAAUGCAGCCCAAAGUGGGUGGUAAACUCCAUCCAAGGCUAAAUACUUACACGAGUCCGAUAGCAAACAAGUACCGUGAGGGAAAGUUGAAAAGUACUUUGAAGAGAGAGUAAACAGUGCGUGAAACCGCUCAAAGGUAAACGGGUGGAGUUGAACUGCAAGCCCUGGGAAUUCAGCUGAUGAGUGUGAUUUGUACUUGGGCAUACUGGCCGCCUUCAGUGUCUGUUUAACCGCAGGUGCCUUCCUUUUUGGUGGGUAUGUGUGAAUCGUUUGCUUACGACGCGCGCACUGUUGGUGUGAGGGUCUGCUUGUCAGUGCACUUUCUCAGGGUGUUCACCACGACCGGCACUGUUGCCUGUCUGCUAUGGUCAAACUGAUCAGGUCUGAUUUCUGUCAGUCUUGGUUGGGUCGGUAGGUGGCUCUUUGGCUCAUUUAUGGGCCGUGAGUGUUACUAACUGGCUGUAGUGGAUCUGUGCGGUGUGUCGGAGAUGGCGGCUUCGCAUGCGUGCUUAGACCUUCGGGCAUUUCUGAGUCUGGUCAGUUUGUUACUGGCUUCGGCUGGUCGGCUGAUGGCUUGGUUUUGUCACGUCGGCGGUUGCGUGUGUCGUCUACAUAACGAAUCCAAAUUUUUGGUUUGAUCACUGGUAGAAUUGUGGUUUCUAGUCGUUGCAUUACUGCUUCCGCGAUGAGUCCUGAUAUUGGUGAUCCCAUUGGUGUCCCUUUUGUUUGUUUGUAGAUUUUGUUAUUGAAUUGGAAAUAUGUUGUUAGACAUAGAUCCAUGAGUUCAAGUAGGCUUUGACUUUGAAGUUUCGUGUAUUUCGCGAGGUUUUCGUCGUUGGUUAGGAGCAAGGACAGAGUUUCUUUUGCUAGGUUUGGUUCAAUUGAAGUGAAUAGUGCUGUUACAUCGAAGGAUAUCAUUAGUUCGUCGUCGUUGAUUUGAAUGUUCCUAAUCUGAUCAAGGAAUUGUGUGGCUGAUUUGAUGGAGUGGUUCGACGAAUCUACUAAAUGUUUCAGUAUUCUUGAGAUUUCUCUUGAUAAAUUGUACGUUGGUGUUCCUGGUAGUGCUACAAUUGGACGUAGUGGGAUGUUUGGUUUGUGUAUCUUUGGUCUGCCGUAGAACCGAGGGAGUACUGGUCCAUUAGAUUUCACUCUCCAUUGAUCUUGCUUCGUUAUUUCUCCUGCUUUGACGAGUUUGUUUAAAGUUUUUGAAAUGCGAUUGUCUAGUUUUUUGACUGGAUUUAUGUCCAUCGGUUUGUAUGUACUUUUGUCUUCGAGUAUUUCCUCGGCUUUCUUGAUGUAUUCUUACUUGUCCAUAAUCACCGUAGUGCGUCCUUUGUCUGCUGGAACGAUGACAAUAUCUUUUCAUGUUCUGAGUUUCUUCAAAGCUGUUUGUUCUUGUGACGUCAGUUGGUUGUUGCCCUUCAUCCGUUGAGUUAGUGGUAUUAUAGAUUGUCUUAUUUCCUGUUGCGUUUCCUCACUUAUUCCGGAAGUUUUGAGUGAUGACUCUAGUGCUGCGUAGAAUGCUAGUUUUGGGGCAUCGCUUGUUCUCAAACUUUAAAUGGGUGAGAAGCUUAACUCGCUUGAUUGGAGUUUUGCAUUGAAUGUGAGUGCCAAGUGAGCCGUUUUUGGUAAGCAGAACUGGCGCUGUUGGAUGAACCAAACGUUCGGUUAAGGUGCCUAACACGACGCUCAUGAGAUACCACAAAAGGUGUUGGUUGGUCUAGACAGCAGGACGGUGGCCAUGGAAGUCGGAAGCCGCUAAGGAGUGUGUAACAACUCACCUGCCGAAUCAACCAGCCCUGAAAAUGGAUGGCGCUCGAGCGUUGGACCUAUACCGGACCGUUGCUGUAAGCUAGGCCUAUGCUGUGUGAGGGCAAGCUGCACUUGGUCUAGGCAUGGAGUGACGGCAACGAGUAGGAGGGUCGCUGUGGCUAGCGGGAAGCCUCAGGCGUGAGCCUAGGUGAAGCAACCACAGGCGCAGAUCUUGGUGGUAGUAGCAAAUAUUCAAGUGAGAACCUUGAAGGCCGAGGUGGAGAAGGGUUCCAUGGGAACAGCAGUUGACCAUGGGUCAGGCGGUCCUAAGUGAUCCGGUAAAUCGGAACAGAGACGGGGUGCCUGACAUUGUCCGUUCGCGGGCUUUGUUCAGUAAUCUGCAAAGUACUGUUGCAUUGCAGCCCCCUGUAGCGAAAGGGAAUCGGGUUAAUAUUCCCGACCCUGUCCACGGAGAUUGGUGUGUGUCGGGCCUUUGGUUCGGCGUGCGCCCAGCGCGGUAACGCAACCGACCUCGGAGACGUCGGCGAGAGUUCUGGGAAGAGUUCUCUUUUCUUUGUUAGGAGUGCAUCCACCCCCUGGAAUCGGCUUGUCUGGAGAUAGGGGGCUAGCCUCCGUAAAGCACCACCCUUCUUGUGGUGUUCGGAACGCUCUUGUCGGCCCUUGAAAAUCCGAGCGAGGCAGUAUAAUUUUCGUGGCAGGCCGUACCCAUGUCCGCAGCAGAUCUCCAAGGUGAACAGCCUCUGGCA